RNAcentral lists this long non-coding RNA (1581 nucleotides) under Crocodylus porosus (Australian saltwater crocodile). RNAcentral's name for it is "lncRNA (ENSCPRG00005012063.1)". The record is from RNAcentral. Lineage: Eukaryota; Metazoa; Chordata; Crocodylia; Crocodylidae.
CCACUUCCCCCAGUGGCUCCGGCGGGGCGCAUCUUGCGCGGAGCAGGCACUGGGGGAGGGGAGAAGGGGGCGCCAUAUCUAGCCGGCUUUUGGAUUUUUUUUGUUUGUUUGUUUAGUUCGAGAACUUCAAACUUGAGUCUUAAAAAAAAGUUUAAGAAGGAGGGGAAAAAAGCCAAGCGCGGGCGGGCAAGAAGGCCCCCCCGCGGCGGCCGGGCUGAGGCCGGGCGCGAACUCAUCGCAGGCGCGCGUCGGCACUGCCGCUUUAAGCAGCCUUGCCCAUUGUUUGCCCCCCGACCAAUGGCGGCGGCGCUGCCCGCUGGGCGCGGCCAAUGAGCGGCGCGCAGGGCAGGCGCGGCGCCGCCCCCGGCUCUAUAAGAGGGGCCGCGGCGCCGCGUGAGCCCUCCACUGCGCGGCCAAGGCCAUCUUUGCAUUGUUCGCUGCGCUGCGCCUGCGCCUGCGCCCGACCGCGCGGGGCUAUUUUUAUACAGAGCUAUUUUGUACCCGCCCGCACCGCACCAUGUCGGACACGGCCGUGGACACCAGCGCCGAGAUCUCCGCCAAGGAUCUAAAAGAGAAGAAGGAAGUCGUGGAAGAGACGGAAAACGGCAGAGAUGCGCCCGCCAACGGCAAUGCUGAGAACGAGGAAAACGGGGAGCAGGAAGCCGACAACGAAGUAGACGAGGAGGAGGAAGAAGGCGGCGAGGAGGAGGACGAGGAGGAAGAGGGUGAUGGUGAGGAAGAGGACGGUGACGAAGACGACGAAGCCGAGGGGGCCACAGGCAAACGGGCGGCUGAGGACGAUGAGGUGAGCGGGGAUGGAUCCCAGGCGCUUUGCUGGAGCAGAGCUGGCCGGGUCCCCCGGAGGGAUCCACCGGGGCACGUGUGGGCCAGGGAGCCUGGCUGGGCUCUUGGAGCCCAGCUCCUGCCCCCAUCCCGGGCACGGCUCUCGCGUUUGCCUCCGGGGUGCUGCCCUCGGGGACUCAGCCCGCUUCCAUUUGUACCCGUGGCCUGCUUAGGAGCGCCCUCGGCUGCAGCCGGAGCAGCCCGUGCUCCCGCGCUGGGAUGGCACAGCUGGGAGGGGAGUCUUCCUCCACGCUCUGCUGGCAGCUGGGGAAGGGGCUGGCGCAACCCCGGAUGCCCUGGCUGGGUUAGGAAGGGGACGAGGGGGGUGACGGACGCUGAACCCCAGCACAAUGGUGCUGGGAGCCGGCUCUGCCCUCUCCAGCCCUUGGCCUCUCCUGGGCAGUGCCAGCGGCACGUCAAAGGGUGCAAGAGACGGGGCUGGUGCGGGCAAGACGGCUGCUUCCUGAGGAGAGCGGCAGCUCGCUGGGUACCUCGGGUGGGGUCUGCGCAGAGCCAGGUGCACAGAAAGGCCACUCGGAUAAGGCCCCUUAUCUCCGCGCGGGAGAGGAAGCCGAAAACCCGCCUCCAGGAGCAAAGGCUGAAUCCCUUCUUGCUGGGGCUGGCAGGGAGGCAGAGGGAACCACGGUCCUUGGCCCCUCGUGGCCGCCCCAGAGCUGGGCAGGAUGGGGCAUUUGGGCUCCCUAAAACUGCAGGGCAAAGAGGUGCCAAGGGGGCAGC